Molecule: long non-coding RNA, 320 nt
Organism: Bufo gargarizans (Asiatic toad)
Lineage: Eukaryota; Metazoa; Chordata; Amphibia; Anura; Bufonidae
Exons: 3
Source: RefSeq, a predicted model, not a curated record
GUGUCCUGGCUGCGUAUAGCGUCAGGACGUAUAGAGCGCACUGUGACCUGACGAUGCAAACAGGUGACUGUGCAGCUCGGGCCCCGAGAAGAGAGCCGGGGAGACCGCCGGACCAGGAGAAAGGUGGUGGAGCAGGAGAGACUAUCUCAUCCCGACAAAUGCUCCCACAACACGGGCUGGAACCUAGGCAGCAGCGCAGGCACCCCGUUCGCUGAUCGGGAAAAUCAGCAAGGCUACACAUAGAUGUUGUGACUUCUUACAACAUAUUCUGGAGGACAAGGUCCAUAUGGAGUAAGAGGUUAAGGAGGCGGUGAAUGUGA